RNAcentral lists this ribosomal RNA (292 nucleotides) under uncultured bacterium. RNAcentral describes it as "partial 16S ribosomal RNA". The record is from RNAcentral.
GGACUACCAGGGUAUCUAAUCCUGUUUGAUCCCCGCGCUUUCGCGCCUCAGCGUCAGUUGUCGUCCAGAUAGCCGCCUUCGCCACCGGUGUUCCUCCUAAUAUCUACGAAUUUCACCUCUACAUUAGGAAUUCCGCUAUCCCCUCCGACACUCUAGCAAACCAGUUUCAAAGGCAAUUCCACGGUUGAGCCGUGGGAUUUCACCCCUGACUUGGUUCGCCGCCUACGCGCGCUUUACGCCCAGUAAUUCCGAACAACGCUAGCACCCUUCGUAUUACCGCGGCUGCUGGCAC